This 440-nucleotide ribosomal RNA is filed under the name uncultured bacterium. Its description in RNAcentral is "partial 16S ribosomal RNA". It matches the Rfam family "Bacterial small subunit ribosomal RNA", at positions 339 to 795 of the family's 1533-position model. The record is from RNAcentral.
CUACGGGGGGCUCCAGUGAGGAAUAUUGCACAAUGGGGGGAACCCUGAUGCAGCAACGCCGCGUGGAGGAUGACGCAUUUCGGUGUGUAAACUCCUUUUAUAUGUCAAGAAAAUGACGGUAGCAUAUGAAUAAGCACCGGCUAGACUCCGUGCCCGCAGCCGCGGUAAUACGGAGGGUGCAAGCGUUACUCGGAAUCACUGGGCGUAAAGGACGCGUAGGCGGGUUGGAAAGUCAGGUGUGAAAUCCUACAGCUUAACUGUAGAACUGCACUUGAAACUUCUAAUCUAGAGUAUGGGAGGGGGAGAUGGAAUUAGUGGUGUAGGGGUAAAAUCCGUAGAUAUCACUAGGAAUACCUAAAGCGAAGGCGAUCUCCUGGAACAUUACUGACGCUAAGGCGUGAAAGCGUGGGGAGCAAACAGGAUUAGAUACCCGGGUAGUC